Molecule: long non-coding RNA, 2375 nt
Organism: Pseudopipra pipra
Lineage: Eukaryota; Metazoa; Chordata; Aves; Passeriformes; Pipridae
Exons: 3
Source: RefSeq, a predicted model, not a curated record
CUCACAGGCUGCCCUGGUCGGAUGGGCAGGACCUGGGGGAAGCAGCUUUUGGUUGCAAAUAAAACUCAAUCAAGCCCAACGCAAUCCCCCCAGAUUCCUGGAGACCUGCCUGCAGGGGAGAGACUCACGUGCCUUUCCCUUCUGAUCGAACUACCAACACACGUCCUGCUGCGCUGCUGCUGCAGAAAGUGGGGACAGAGAUGGAAAGAAGAGCAGAGAUGUCACAAUCCUUCCUUCCUCCUCAAACAAACGGCAUCUCCUCAGUGGGAUAACAACAAUGUGACCACAGUGGUGUGACCGUGUCCAUCAGCCUCCUGACCUGCAGGAGACCUUCAGCAUCCUUUGGAGAAGUGCUGGUGACACCCUGCCUGCCCCGUGGAGGCUGCCACGACCCCUUCUGUGUUUCCUGUAAAGUGGAGAGUGGUUUUGGCCGGCAGAGAGAACACGACGAACGAGGUUAAGCAAAUUCCCACUCCCACCCAUCCGGGGCCUUCCGGGACCAUCCCAAAUCUCCAUGCAGAGCACAAACACCUCGUCAUGGCCAGCAAGCCUUGCGCAGCCGCUGGCUACAGGCAGGCUCGCCCGCUCUGAGCUCAGCUGCUGGCUGCGGCUGACCGAGUAAAUAAAGAACAUUUCUCACGAAAUCCACCCUCUUGGAGGUCCCCAGGCGGAGAGCUGGCCUUUCCAUGGCUCAGGAAACCUUUAUCCCCCAGAUCUACAGCAGCCCCGUGCUGCAGUUGAUUUAGCAAGCGAUGUUUGCACACCCAGGUUUGCAGUGCACUGACCCUGUUCCCGGCAGCACCGUGACAUUUGCAGGCACCGUUUCCAUCUGGCCCCCUUGUACUUUCUGGGAGUUUUUGUGUGCUUGUCCAAAUGGGGGGAAAGGUCAGAGUUAUUGAUGGAAGGUCCAGACUAAAAUCUGGACUUCCCUAAGCCCAGGAUGACUGUGCCUGGGCUAACCCUGCAGAUUAGGGCUCCAGUGGCCUCCCCUCAGUGAGGCUCUGCUCCUAAUCUUUGGGGCUCUCAUAGCUCUAGCACAUACCCAUAUUUUUGGGGGCUCUUCUGCAUCCUGUUUCUGACCUUGCAGAUCCUCCUUGUUGCUCCUCUCUACCCACCCAGAGCUGAACAGCCUCCACCCUGAUGCCUCCUCUGCAGCUAAGGCCUUGACCUUUAUUUUCCCUUAAAUCAAUACCUAAAAGCCAUGCUGCAGCAAUACCAGCAUGUCAGGGGAAUCCAGGUGAUUUGUAUCAUCUGAAGAGCUGAUUCUGCUUUUGAGGCUCAAUCCUGGCAAGCUUUUGUCUUUUCAGCUCCCAAUCUCUUCUGCGCUGCCUUCAGCACAGUAUUGUAUUCAUCCCCUGACCUCCCUCCCUGGCAUUAUUGACUCUGUAUCUUGGUUUUAAUCUUCUAUAAAAUGAAGGCAGCUCCAGGUAAAAGAAGUUCUAUUCUUCCUGAUCAUAAUAUUUCUUUUGCCAAAAAGAAGAAAAAAAAUUAUUUAACGUGAGUUGAAGUUGAAAAGGCUUAAUUAAAAGACUUAACAGAGAAAAAAACUACAGGGAAAACUCUACAGACUUUUGUGAAAUUCUCACUGUGGAGAAUCAAGCUUCUGGGAGCUCUUGUUGAUAUCUAUAGCCUUACCUCCAUGGCAGGGAGGUGACCCUACAGCCCCAGGAUGGGGAGAGGGUGCUGCCAUCAGCCAGGAGCAUCCUGGAGAGGAGCUGCAUCCAAGGCUUCUUCCCCACCAUCACUGCUCAGCCACUCUCCUUCCUCCAAUGCUGUGUCCUGCUGUGGCUGUCUGCAGUGGUUGGCUCUCAGAAGGAGCAAACAGCCUGUUUUGGGUGCAAACAGGGUGUAUUUACCAGUGAAAAUUCAUGCCAGCCCUGUUGGUGAGGCUGGCACAAUUGUGCCCACAGAAAGGAUUCAGUUUGUAACUACUCCACUCAUAAAAAAACCCAACAACCAAGACCUAUCUCCUUCUGUCUAAUAUCUACUGGCAAAAGCUUCGGGAACUGCUUUUGCAGUUAGUUGAAGCUGAUGUUUGCGAGCCCACCAUUCCCAAUGACUGAUCAGAUAGACUUUUCCCAUCAGAGCAUUUAUUUUUCCAACAGGACACCGAGUCCUGAAACAAAUGAAGGCUUGCACAAGAAAUCCUCUGCCUCAGUUUGGCAGCAAACAGAAAACAAGAAUAUUUUUCUUUAUUCUAAUACCAAAUUUUUGUGGCUAAAUAGAGCCAAAAAUAUAUCUCACCCCCACCCUCCCCCCACUUCUCCCAGACACGAGACAUCUCCGAACGCCGAAAGCAACUUUUCCCUGCCACAAAUGGACCAGAUAAACCCAGCAGGAGACUGGUGCUUAGGAGAAACAGAUGUGCCUCUAAU